Acanthosepion pharaonis is the source of this 105-nucleotide non-coding RNA. NCBI's taxonomy places the organism in Eukaryota, Metazoa, Mollusca, Cephalopoda, Sepiida, Sepiidae. The record is from the annotation of a GenBank genome assembly.
UAUCAUAAUGAAACACCGGUUCACGUUCGAUCACCGAAGUUAAGCAACGUCGAACAUAGUCAGUACCUAGAUGGGUGACCGCUUGAGAAUAUCAGCUGCUGUAAG